This 681-nucleotide ribosomal RNA is filed under the name Vibrio cholerae. RNAcentral's name for it is "partial 23S ribosomal RNA". It matches the Rfam family "Bacterial large subunit ribosomal RNA", at positions 2263 to 2925 of the family's 2925-position model. Lineage: Bacteria; Pseudomonadati; Pseudomonadota; Gammaproteobacteria; Vibrionales; Vibrionaceae. The record is from RNAcentral.
GGGUAGUUUGACUGGGGCGGUCUCCUCCCAAAGAGUAACGGAGGAGCACGAAGGUGGGCUAAUCACGGUUGGACAUCGUGAGGUUAGUGCAAUGGCAUAAGCCCGCUUAACUGCGAGAAUGACGGUUCGAGCAGGUGCGAAAGCAGGUCAUAGUGAUCCGGUGGUUCUGUAUGGAAGGGCCAUCGCUCAACGGAUAAAAGGUACUCCGGGGAUAACAGGCUGAUACCGCCCAAGAGUUCAUAUCGACGGCGGUGUUUGGCACCUCGAUGUCGGCUCAUCACAUCCUGGGGCUGAAGUCGGUCCCAAGGGUAUGGCUGUUCGCCAUUUAAAGUGGUACGCGAGCUGGGUUUAGAACGUCGUGAGACAGUUCGGUCCCUAUCUGCCGUGGGCGUUGGAAGAUUGAAGGGGGCUGCUCCUAGUACGAGAGGACCGGAGUGGACGAACCUCUGGUGUUCGGGUUGUGUCGCCAGACGCAUUGCCCGGUAGCUAAGUUCGGAAUUGAUAAGCGCUGAAAGCAUCUAAGCGCGAAGCGAGCCCUGAGAUGAGUCUUCCCUGAUACUUUAAGUAUCCUAAAGGGUUGUUCGAGACUAGAACGUUGAUAGGCAGGGUGUGUAAGCGUUGUGAGGCGUUGAGCUAACCUGUACUAAUUGCCCGUGAGGCUUAACCAUACAACACCCAAGG